GAUGAACGCUGGCGGUAUGCUUAACACAUGCAAGUCGAACGGUGUCUUCGGACAUAGUGGCGGACGGGUGAGUAACGCGUGAGAAUCUAGCUUCAGGUCGGGGACAACCACGGGAAACUGUGGCUAAUACCGGAUAUGCCGAGAGGUGAAAGGCUUGCUGCCUGAAGAUGAGCUCGCGUCUGAUUAGCUAGUAGGUGUGGUAAAAGCGCACCUAGGCGACGAUCAGUAGCUGGUCUGAGAGGAUGAUCAGCCACACUGGGACUGAGACACGGCCCAGACUCCUACGGGAGGCAGCAGUGGGGAAUUUUCCGCAAUGGGCGAAAGCCUGACGGAGCAAUACCGCGUGAGGGAGGAAGGCUCUUGGGUUGUAAACCUCUUUUC
Molecule: ribosomal RNA, 381 nt
Filed under: uncultured cyanobacterium
Lineage: Bacteria; Bacillati; Cyanobacteriota
Description: bacterial SSU rRNA
Rfam family: Bacterial small subunit ribosomal RNA
Source: RNAcentral